GACGAACGCUGGCGGCGUGCUUAACACAUGCAAGUCGAGCGGUAAGGCCCUUUCGGGGGUACACGAGCGGCGAACGGGUGAGUAACACGUGGGUGACCUGCCUUUAGCUCUGGGAUAAGCCUGGGAAACCGGGUCUAAUACCGGAUAUGACUCCGCGGCGCAUGUUGUGGGGUGGAAAGCCUUGUGCGGCUGGAGACGGGCCCGCGGCCUAUCAGCUUGUUGGUGGGGUGAUGGCCUACCAAGGCGACGACGGGUAGCCGGCCUGAGAGGGCGACCGGCCACACUGGGACUGAGACACGGCCCAGACUCCUACGGGAGGCAGCAGUGGGGAAUCUUGCGCAAUGGGCGAAAGCCUGACGCAGCGACGCCGCGUGA
This 375-nucleotide ribosomal RNA is filed under the name uncultured bacterium. Its description in RNAcentral is "bacterial SSU rRNA". It matches the Rfam family "Bacterial small subunit ribosomal RNA", at positions 28 to 404 of the family's 1533-position model. The record is from RNAcentral.